RNAcentral lists this ribosomal RNA (465 nucleotides) under uncultured bacterium. Its description in RNAcentral is "partial 16S ribosomal RNA". It matches the Rfam family "Bacterial small subunit ribosomal RNA", at positions 338 to 795 of the family's 1533-position model. The record is from RNAcentral.
CCUACGUGAGGCAGCAGUAGGGAAUCUUCCACAAUGGGCGAAAGCCUGAUGGAGCAACGCCGCGUGGGUGAAGAAGGUCUUCGGAUCGUAAAACCCUGUUGUUAGAGAAGAAAGUGCGUGAGAGUAACUGUUCACGUUUCGACGGUAUCUAACCAGAAAGCCACGGCUAACUACGUGCCAGCAGCCGCGGUAAUACGUAGGUGGCAAGCGUUAUCCGGAUUUAUUGGGCGUAAAGGGAACGCAGGCGGUCUUUUAAGUCUGAUGUGAAAGCCUUCGGCUUAACCGGAGUAGUGCAUUGGAAACUGGGAGACUUGAGUGCAGAAGAGGAGAGUGGAGCUCCAUGUGUAGCGGUGAAAUGCGUAGAUAUAUGGAAGAACACCAGUGGCGAAAGCGGCUCUCUGGUCUGUAACUGACGCUGAGGUUCGAAAGCGUGGGUAGCAAACAGGAUUAGAUACCCCAGUAGUC